This 495-nucleotide ribosomal RNA is filed under the name uncultured bacterium. Its description in RNAcentral is "partial 16S ribosomal RNA". It matches the Rfam family "Bacterial small subunit ribosomal RNA", at positions 28 to 507 of the family's 1533-position model. The record is from RNAcentral.
GACGAACGCUGGCGGCGUGCCUAAUACAUGCAAGUAGAACGCUGAAGGAGGAGCUUGCUCUUCUGGAUGAGUUGCGAACGGGUGAGUAACGCGUAGGUAACCUGCCUGGUAGAGGGGGAUAACUAUUGGAAACGAUAGCUAAUACCGCAUAAGAGUAGAUGUUGCAUGAGAUUUGCUUAAAAGGUGCAAUUGCAUCACUACCAGAUGGACCUGCGUUGUAUUAGCUAGUUGGUGGGGUAACGGCUCACCAAGGCGACGAUACAUAGCCGACCUGGGAGGGUGAUCGGCCACACUGGGACUGAGACACGGCCCAGACUCCUACGGGAGGCAGCAGUAGGGAAUCUUCGGCAAUGGACGGAAGUCUGACCGGGCAACGCCGCGUGAGUGAAGAAGGUUUUCGGAUCGUAAAGCUCUGUUGUAAGAGAAGAACGAGUGUGAGAGUGGAAAGUGCACACUGUGACGGUAUCUUACCAGAAAGAGACGGCUAACUACGUG